Triticum dicoccoides is the source of this 904-nucleotide long non-coding RNA. RefSeq lists it as uncharacterized. NCBI's taxonomy places the organism in Eukaryota, Viridiplantae, Streptophyta, Magnoliopsida, Poales, Poaceae. The transcript is spliced from 3 exons. The record is from RefSeq and is a predicted model, not a curated record.
UCCCUGAAAAAAAAAAACAAAAAAAACUGCGAAAGCUCCUGUCCGGUCUCGCCGCCGGCCGGAUGCUUGGUCUUCCGGCCGGCGGGUUUGGCCCACCGCGGUUCCAGUGCGCUCCAGGGACCGAGAUCUGCCAGUUCUGCGCCCUCCUCUCCCGCGUCGAUUCGUGGCAUCAGGAGCAUCAGCAGGGCCAGCCGAAGGAGGGCCUGCCCCCGCCACCGGCGAAGCUCCGGGCAGCUACGAGGAAGCGCUGCGGCCAGAUCCGUACCGCAGAAGGAUAUUGCCGAGGUCGACGACGGUGCUAGCGCGCUGAGCUGCGAAUGGUGCUGUGUCUACAUUCGUUGACAAUGCUGAUGUGGAGAGCGGGAAUCCUGGGAGCACGGAUGUAGUAGCGGCGGAGAAGGUGGAUGAGUAUGUAGAUAUUGAGGAGGAGAUGCCAACCUCAACUUACCAAUCAGUGGAGAUCGAGAAGGGUGCCAAGGCCAUGAGUGUCUCUGGUGGUUCGGGUAGUGGUUCUUCAUCAUCCAAUGGUUCAGGGUCAGGGAGCUCAGUGGACAGCACCUCAGAAGCUGGCAAUGCUCGUUCUCUGGUGUAGAGGAGGUUGUUCUAACAGUAGGAUUUGAGUAGGUGGAUGAUGUGAUUACUUGUUUCUGGGAUGUGCAUGUCGGCUUGGAUUUAGUUAACCUUGUUUCUAGUGGAUGGCUGGCUUUGUGGGUAAUCUCAUAGCUCAGCUCGACUAUGUCUAUAUAAGUGAAAAGUGGUGGUAGUUCAUCUGGCCUUCUGAUCUGAAUGUGGCUUUUGUAUUGAUGUGUUUUGUCUAGCACAUCUAUUCUGUAUGUGAUUUUAUAUAUGCUUAUGGUUAUGCGCGACGUAACUAUGGCAUCGGAGUAAGGAAAUAUUGAAAUCA